AAUGGCGGCCGCCAAAGAACAGAAGCGCAGUCUGCACAUAGUAAUGUUUCCAAUCGCCGCCGCUGUAAUUGCAAUUCCGCAGCGUUUUCCGGUAGCUAUUCCGACCCCCUUUUAUCGGAUAUUCACUAACUCUUCCGUUUGGAGGUUUCAUUUUUUUUUUUUUUUUUUAUUGGUUGUGCUGAAAAUAACUAGGGCUGGAUUUUUUGCGUAAUUUUGAAUUAUUCUCCGGUGGAGGCUCCGACUGCGGACCGGUGGCGGCGUGGCAACGGCCCAACCAAGAAUUGCGUUUGAUGGAAAAUGAACGGUGGAGAUUAAUUGUAGACGGAGAGGAAUAACAGGGGGUGUUGAAAUUGGUGGUUGUGGCAGCCAUAGAAUUGCUAUUCGGCGGCGGAGCGAGGUGGUGCUGGUGGUGGUUUACUGUAGUGGGAAAAGGGCAGGAGCAAGACGCCAUUUUUAUUUUUAUUUUGCGCAAUUUUCAAGUUUUUCUCAGUU
RNAcentral lists this long non-coding RNA (492 nucleotides) under Erythranthe guttata (spotted monkey flower). RNAcentral's name for it is "long non-coding RNA (EGUT_LNC000113)". Lineage: Eukaryota; Viridiplantae; Streptophyta; Magnoliopsida; Lamiales; Phrymaceae. The record is from RNAcentral.